CGAGCGGACAGAUGGGAGCUUGCUCCCUGAUGUUAGCGGCGGACGGGUGAGUAACACGUGGGUAACCUGCCUGUAAGACUGGGAUAACUCCGGGAAACCGGGGCUAAUACCGGAUGCUUGUUUGAACCGCAUGGUUCAAACAUAAAAGGUGGCUUCGGCUACCACUUACAGAUGGACCCGCGGCGCAUUAGCUAGUUGGUGAGGUAAUGGCUCACCAAGGCAACGAUGCGUAGCCGACCUGAGAGGGUGAUCGGCCACACUGGGACUGAGACACGGCCCAGACUCCUACGGGAGGCAGCAGUAGGGAAUCUUCCGCAAUGGACGAAAGUCUGACGGAGCAACGCCGCGUGAGUGAUGAAGGUUUUCGGAUCGUAAAGCUCUGUUGUUAGGGAAGAACAAGUACCGUUCGAAUAGGGCGGUACCUUGACGGUACCUAACCAGAAAGCCACGGCUAACUACGUGCCAGCAGCCGCGGUAAUACGUAGGUGGCAAGCGUUGUCCGGAAUUAUUGGGCGUAAAGGGCUCGCAGGCGGUUUCUUAAGUCUGAUGUGAAAGCCCCCGGCUCAACCGGGGAGGGUCAUUGGAAACUGGGGAACUUGAGUGCAGAAGAGGAGAGUGGAAUUCCACGUGUAGCGGUGAAAUGCGUAGAGAUGUGGAGGAACACCAGUGGCGAAGGCGACUCUCUGGUCUGUAACUGACGCUGAGGAGCGAAAGCGUGGGGAGCGAACAGGAUUAGAUAC
RNAcentral lists this ribosomal RNA (740 nucleotides) under Bacillus tequilensis. Its description in RNAcentral is "bacterial SSU rRNA". It matches the Rfam family "Bacterial small subunit ribosomal RNA", at positions 63 to 785 of the family's 1533-position model. Lineage: Bacteria; Bacillati; Bacillota; Bacilli; Caryophanales; Bacillaceae. The record is from RNAcentral.